GAGCGGCGAACGGGUGAGUAAUACAUCGGAACGUGUCCCGUAGUGGGGGAUAACCCGGCGAAAGCCGGACUAAUACCGCAUAUGCUUACGGAGGAAAGUGGGGGACCCGCAAGGGCCUCACGCCAUGGGAGCGGCCGAUGUCCGAUUAGCUUGUUGGUGAGGUAAAGGCUUACCAAGGCGACGAUCGGUAGCUGGUCUGAGAGGAUGAUCAGCCACACUGGGACUGAGACACGGCCCAGACUCCUACGGGAGGCAGCAGUGGGGAAUUUUGGACAAUGGGGGCAACCCUGAUCCAGCCAUGCCGCGUGCGGGAAGAAGGCCUUCGGGUUGUAAACCGCUUUUGUCCGGGAAGAAAAGGCACCCCCUAAUACGGGAUGCUCUUGACGGUACUGGAAGAAUAAGCACCGGCUAACUACGUGCCAGCAGCCGCGGUAAUACGUAGGGUGCGAGCGUUAAUCGGAAUUACUGGGCGUAAAGCGUGCGCAGGCGGUUCGUCAUGUCUGAUGUGAAAGCCCCGGGCUCAACCUGGGAAUGGCAUUGGAAACUAGCGGGCUGGAGUGUGGCAGAGGGGGGUGGAAUUCCACGUGUAGCAGUGAAAUGCGUAGAGAUGUGGAGGAACACCGAUGGCGAAGGCAGCCCCCUGGGCUAACAC
This 652-nucleotide ribosomal RNA is filed under the name uncultured bacterium. RNAcentral's name for it is "bacterial SSU rRNA". It matches the Rfam family "Bacterial small subunit ribosomal RNA", at positions 93 to 740 of the family's 1533-position model. The record is from RNAcentral.